Molecule: small RNA, 28 nt
Filed under: Bombyx mori (domestic silkworm)
Lineage: Eukaryota; Metazoa; Arthropoda; Insecta; Lepidoptera; Bombycidae
Description: ovarian small RNA-36503
Source: RNAcentral
UUACGAAGGAGCCGUUCAUAUAGUUUGC